Molecule: ribosomal RNA, 318 nt
Filed under: Triticum aestivum (bread wheat)
Lineage: Eukaryota; Viridiplantae; Streptophyta; Magnoliopsida; Poales; Poaceae
Description: partial small subunit ribosomal RNA
Source: RNAcentral
AUGGUGUCUUUUGCCCUGGAAAAAAAUCAUAAGGAAGUUUUCAAGACGAAGCGCCGCCGUCUCGAGGAGGAACCUGGGCAGGACCCAUAUAGGGCUCUGGCGGAGCUGUUCUGCUGGCGAAACAUCCCUCCGGGAGGGGGAAAUCGUUGUCAUCGUCACCACCACCAAUCCUCUCAUCGAGAGGGGGUCAAUCUCCAUCAACAUGUUCACCAGCACCAUCUCCUCUCAAACCCUACUUCAUCUCUUGUAUCCAAUCUUUGUCUCAAAACCUCAGAUUGGUACCUAUGGGUUGCUAGUAGUGUUGAUUACUCCUUGUAG